CCUACGGGUGGCUGCAGUGAGGAAUAUUGGUCAAUGGGCGGAAGCCUGAACCAGCCAAGUCGCGUGAGGGAAUAAGGCUCUACGGGUCGUAAACCUCUUUUGCCGGGGAGCAAGGGCGGGGACGUGUCCCGGCCCGGAGAGUACCCGGAGAUAAAGCAUCGGCUAACUCCGGGCCAGCAGCCCGGGUAAGCCGGGGGAUGAAAGCGUUAUCCGGUUUUAUUGGGUUUAAAGGGUGCGUGGGCUGUGAGGUAAGUCAGCGGUGAAAUGCCCCCGGUCAAUGGGGUGAAGUGCCAGUGAUAGUGGCGUGCUGGAAUGCGGAUGCGGUGGGAGGAAUGUGUGGUGUAGCGGUGAAAUGCAUAGAGAUCACACAGAACACCGAUUGCGAAGGCAUCUCACGAAUCCGCGAUUGACGCUGAUGCACGAAAGCGUGGGUAUCAAACAGGAUUAGAUACCCUGGUAGUC
This 462-nucleotide ribosomal RNA is filed under the name uncultured bacterium. RNAcentral describes it as "partial 16S ribosomal RNA". It matches the Rfam family "Bacterial small subunit ribosomal RNA", at positions 338 to 795 of the family's 1533-position model. The record is from RNAcentral.